This 440-nucleotide ribosomal RNA is filed under the name uncultured bacterium. RNAcentral's name for it is "partial 16S ribosomal RNA". It matches the Rfam family "Bacterial small subunit ribosomal RNA", at positions 338 to 795 of the family's 1533-position model. The record is from RNAcentral.
CCUACGGGAGGCUGCAGUGGGGAAUAUUGCACAAUGGGGGAAACCCUGAUGCAGCGACGCCGCGUGAGUGAAGAAGGAUUUCGGUACGUAAAGCUCUAUCAGCAGGGAAGAAAAUGCAGGUCCCUGACCAGGAAGCCCCGGCUAACUACGUGCCAGCAGCCGCGGUAAUACGCCGGGGGCCAGCGUUAUCCGGAUUUACUGGGUGUAAAGGGACCGUAGAGGUCUGCGCAAGUCUGGAGUGAAAGCCCAUGGCUUAACCCUGGAACUGCUUUGGAAACGGUGCAUCUAGAGUGCAGUAGAGGUAAGCGGAAUUCCUAGUGUAGCGGUGAAAUGCGUAGAUAUUAGGAGGAACACCAGUGGCGAAGGCGGCUUACUGGACUGUAACUGACAUUGAGGCUCGAAAGCGUGGGGAGCAAACAGGAUUAGAUACCCGGGUAGUC